Molecule: ribosomal RNA, 397 nt
Filed under: uncultured bacterium
Lineage: Bacteria
Description: partial 16S ribosomal RNA
Rfam family: Bacterial small subunit ribosomal RNA
Source: RNAcentral
AUACGUAGGGGGCGAGCGUUGUCCGGAAUGAUUGGGCGUAAAGGGCGCGUAGGCGGCCCGGUAAGUCUGGAGUGAAAGUCCUGUUUUCAAGAUGGGAAUUGCUUUGGAUACUGGGGGGCUUGAGUGCAGGAGAGGUUAUCGGAAUUCCCGGUGUAGCGGUGAAAUGUGUAGAGAUCGGGAGGAACACCAGUGGCGAAGGCGGGUAACUGGACUGCAACUGACGCUGAGGCGCGAAAGUGUGGGGAGCAAACAGGAUUAGAUACCCUGGUAGUCCACACUGUAAACGAUGAAUGCUAGGUGUAAGAGGUAUCGACCCCUUUUGUGCCGGAGUCAACACAAUAAGCAUUCCGCCUGGGGAGUACGGCCGCAAGGUUGAAACUUAAAGGAAUUGACGGGG